RNAcentral lists this ribosomal RNA (502 nucleotides) under Klebsiella pneumoniae. Its description in RNAcentral is "partial 23S ribosomal RNA". It matches the Rfam family "Bacterial large subunit ribosomal RNA", at positions 112 to 656 of the family's 2925-position model. Lineage: Bacteria; Pseudomonadati; Pseudomonadota; Gammaproteobacteria; Enterobacterales; Enterobacteriaceae. The record is from RNAcentral.
GUCCGAAUGGGGAAACCCAGUGUGAUUCGUCACACUAUCGUUAACUGAAUACAUAGGUUAACGAGGCGAACCGGGGGAACUGAAACAUCUAAGUACCCCGAGGAAAAGAAAUCAACCGAGAUUCCCCCAGUAGCGGCGAGCGAACGGGGAGCAGCCCAGAGUCUGAAUCAGCUUGUGUGUUAGUGGAACGGUCUGGAAAGUCCGACGGUACAGGGUGAUAGUCCCGUACACCAAAAUGCACAGGUUGUGAACUCGAAGAGUAGGGCGGGACACGUGGUAUCCUGUCUGAAUAUGGGGGGACCAUCCUCCAAGGCUAAAUACUCCUGACUGACCGAUAGUGAACCAGUACCGUGAGGGAAAGGCGAAAAGAACCCCGGCGAGGGGAGUGAAAAAGAACCUGAAACCGUGUACGUACAAGCAGUGGGAGCACCUUCGGGUGUGACUGCGUACCUUUUGUAUAAUGGGUCAGCGACUUAUAUUCUGUAGCAAGGUUACAAGGUUA